CCUACGGGUGGCUGCAGUGAGGAAUAUUGGUCAAUGGACGCAAGUCUGAACCAGCCAUGCCGCGUGCAGGAAGACGGCUCGAUGAGGUGUAAACUGCGUUUGUACGAGGGUAAACGCAGAUACGCGGAGCUGUCUGAAAGUAAAGUACGAAGAAGGAGCGGCUAACUCCGUGCCAGCAGCCGCGGUAGUACGGAGGAUUCAAGUGUUGUCCGGAUUUAUUUGGUUGACUGGGUGCGUAGGCGGUCGGCUAAGUUAGAGGUGACAUCCCGAGGCUCAACUUCGGAAUGGCCUCUGAUACGGUUCGGCUAGAGCGUAGUUGCGGUCGGCGGCAUGUAUGGUGUAGCGGU
Molecule: ribosomal RNA, 347 nt
Filed under: uncultured bacterium
Lineage: Bacteria
Description: partial 16S ribosomal RNA
Rfam family: Bacterial small subunit ribosomal RNA
Source: RNAcentral